This 192-nucleotide ribosomal RNA is filed under the name uncultured Glomeraceae. Its description in RNAcentral is "partial 18S ribosomal RNA". It matches the Rfam family "Eukaryotic small subunit ribosomal RNA", at positions 593 to 787 of the family's 1831-position model. Lineage: Eukaryota; Fungi; Glomeromycota; Glomeromycetes; Glomerales; Glomeraceae. The record is from RNAcentral.
AAUAGCGUAUAUUAAAGUUGUUGCAGUUAAAAAGCUCGUAGUUGAAUUUCGGGGUUAGUAGGUUGGUCGUGCUUCUGGUAUGUACUGGUUGCACUGAUUCCUCCCUCUUGAGGAACUGUAAUGUCAUUAAUUUUGUGUUGCAGGGAAUCAGGACUGUUACUUUGAAAAAAUUAGAGUGUUUAAAGCAGGCAA